Molecule: long non-coding RNA, 681 nt
Organism: Ictalurus punctatus (channel catfish)
Lineage: Eukaryota; Metazoa; Chordata; Actinopteri; Siluriformes; Ictaluridae
Source: Ensembl
CAUAGGGCAUUGAGCAAGACCUGAGAUGACAUGAGGAAUCCUUAAAAGGAAGCAGACUCAAGAGGGAAUUGUGCUAUUAUAAAUCAUUACAGUCUAAUAGUAAAGACAAACAGUACUGAGUGUGUUGAAAGGAUAGGAGUCCUGCGAUGAGCACAGGACAGUGUUUAUGAUUAUAGCAGUAGGUUAACUUUCAACAUUUCAAGCAACAUCCAUCUCUGCCUUUUUUCUGUUAUUUCUCUCAGAUAACUUUGGUGUGUAUGUUGUAUGUGUGCAAGAGUGUAACGUUAAAGAAAGGAAGUGGUUUCAGAACUCCAUCUGCACCCUGCCUGCCUGUCAUCUGGGAAUACUUGCCUGGAAAUGGUUGUGAGCCUGGAGCCUAUCCCAGAGAAAUUGGGGCACAAGGUGGAGGACACCCUGGAUGUGGUGCCAACCCAUCACAAGGCACAACUGCAUACACAGUCACACACUACAGACAAUUUGGAAACGCCAAUCAGCCUACAAGGCAUGUCUUUAGACUAGGGGAGGAAACUGGAGUACUGGGAGAAAAUCCCUGAAGCACAGGGAGAACAUGCAAAAACUCCACACACACACAGGGCGGAGGCGUUAUUCGAACCCCAACCCCGGAAGUGCGAGAAAAAUAGAGAGACAAAGGAAUGCCUUGGGGAGCCAGAGCAGGGGGGG